Molecule: non-coding RNA, 125 nt
Filed under: Roseivirga spongicola
Lineage: Bacteria; Pseudomonadati; Bacteroidota; Cytophagia; Cytophagales; Roseivirgaceae
Description: SAM-I sequence
Rfam family: SAM riboswitch aptamer (S box leader)
About the family: The SAM riboswitch is found upstream of a number of genes which code for proteins involved in methionine or cysteine biosynthesis in Gram-positive bacteria. The SAM riboswitch acts at the level of transcription termination control.
Source: Rfam by way of RNAcentral
GAUUUAUAAAGAAGCGUGGAGAGACAGGCUCUAUGAAGCGCUAGCAACCAUGCCGACACAUCGGCAAAGGUGCUAAAUCCUGAUCCCAAAUGAGUGUCAAGUUGGCUCUCGGGAGAAUAUAAAUU